RNAcentral lists this ribosomal RNA (486 nucleotides) under uncultured bacterium. Its description in RNAcentral is "partial 16S ribosomal RNA". It matches the Rfam family "Bacterial small subunit ribosomal RNA", at positions 30 to 507 of the family's 1533-position model. The record is from RNAcentral.
AUUGAACGCUGGCGGCAUGCCUUACACAUGCAAGUCGAACGGCAGCACGGGUGCUUGCACCUGGUGGCGAGUGGCGAACGGGUGAGUAAUACAUCGGAACAUGUCCUGUAGUGGGGGAUAGCCCGGCGAAAGCCGGAGUAAUACCGCAUACGAUCUACGGACGAAAGCGGGGGACCUUCGGGCCUCGCGCUAUAGGGUUGGCCGAUGGCUGAUUAGCUAGUUGGUGGGGUAAAGGCCUACCAAGGCGACGAUCAGUAGCUGGUCUGAGAGGACGACCAGCCACACUGGGACUGAGACACGGCCCAGACUCCUACGGGAGGCAGCAGUGGGGAAUUUUGGACAAUGGGCGAAAGCCUGAUCCAGCAAUGCCGCGUGUGUGAAGAAGGCCUUCGGGUUGUAAAGCACUUUUGUCCGGAAAGAAAUCCUUGGCCCUAAUACGGUCGGGGGAUGACGGUACCGGAAGAAUAAGCACCGGCUAACUACGUG